RNAcentral lists this ribosomal RNA (252 nucleotides) under uncultured bacterium. RNAcentral's name for it is "partial 16S ribosomal RNA". It matches the Rfam family "Bacterial small subunit ribosomal RNA", at positions 524 to 776 of the family's 1533-position model. The record is from RNAcentral.
UACGUAGGGUGCAAGCGUUAAUCGGAAUUACUGGGCGUAAAGCGUGCGCAGGCGGUUGUGCAAGACAGAUGUGAAAUCCCCGGGCUCAACCUGGGAAUUGCAUUUGUGACUGUACGGCUAGAGUGUGUCAGAGGGGGGUAGAAUUCCACGUGUAGCAGUGAAAUGCGUAGAGAUGUGGAGGAAUACCGAUGGCGAAGGCAGCCCCCUGGAUAACACUGACGCUCAUGCACGAAAGCGUGGGGAGCAAACAGG